RNAcentral lists this ribosomal RNA (293 nucleotides) under uncultured bacterium. RNAcentral's name for it is "partial 16S ribosomal RNA". It matches the Rfam family "Bacterial small subunit ribosomal RNA", at positions 505 to 796 of the family's 1533-position model. The record is from RNAcentral.
GUGCCAGCAGCCGCGGUAAUACGAAGGGGGCUAGUGUUAUUCGUGAUUAUUGGGUGUUAAAGGGUACGUAGGCGGUUUUGCAAGUCGGGUGUGAAAGCCCUCGGCUCAACCGAGGAAGUGCGCCCGAAACUGCAGAGCUUGAGUGCCGGAGAGGAUGGCGGAAUUCCCCAAGUAGAGGUGAAAUUCGUAGAUAUGGGGAGGAACACCGGUGGCGAAGGCGGCCAUCUGGACGGUAACUGACGCUGAGACGCGAAAGCGUGGGGAGCAAACAGGAUUAGAUACCCCAGUAGUCC